UACGGAGGGUGCAAGCGUUGUCCGGAUUUAUUGGGCUUAAAGGGUGCGUAGGCGGAUGAUUAAGUCAGUGGUGAAAGCCCCCAGCUCAACUGUGGAACUGCCAUUGAUACUGGUUAUCUGGAGUAUAGAAGAGGCAGGCGGAAUUUACGAUGUAGCGGUGAAAUGCAUAGAUAUCGUAAAGAACACCGAUAGCGAAGGCAGCUUGCUAAACUAUAACUGACGCUGAGGCACGAAAGCAUGGGGAGCUAACAGG
RNAcentral lists this unclassified non-coding RNA (253 nucleotides) under uncultured Cytophagales bacterium. Its description in RNAcentral is "contains 16S-23S intergenic spacer region". It matches the Rfam family "Bacterial small subunit ribosomal RNA", at positions 524 to 776 of the family's 1533-position model. The record is from RNAcentral. Lineage: Bacteria; Pseudomonadati; Bacteroidota; Sphingobacteriia; Sphingobacteriales.